GAUGAAGAACGUAGCGAAAUGCGAUAAGUAGUGUGAAUUGCAGAAUUCAGUGAAUCAUCGAAUCUUUGAACGCACAUUGCGCCCCUUGGUAUUCCAUGGGGCAUGCCUGUUCGAGCGUCAUUUGUACCUUCAAGCUUUGCUUGGUGUUGGGUGUUUGUCUCGCCUUUGCGUGUAGACUCGCCUUAAAAUAAUUGGCAGCCGGCGUAUUGAUUUCGGAGCGCAGUACAUCUCGCGCUUUGCACUCAUAACGACAGCGUCCAAAAGUACAUUUUACACUCUUGACCUCGGAUCAGGUAGGGAUACCCGCUUAACUUAAGCAUAUCAAUAAGCGGAGGA
RNAcentral lists this unclassified non-coding RNA (336 nucleotides) under soil metagenome. RNAcentral describes it as "partial contains 5.8S ribosomal RNA, internal transcribed spacer 2, and large subunit ribosomal RNA". The stretch from base 1 to 120 matches the Rfam family "5.8S ribosomal RNA", at positions 35 to 154 of the family's 154-position model. The record is from RNAcentral.